RNA transcript from Lontra canadensis (Northern American river otter), 495 nucleotides. It is a transcript of the gene named igE-binding protein-like, with no coding region annotated. NCBI's taxonomy places the organism in Eukaryota, Metazoa, Chordata, Mammalia, Carnivora, Mustelidae. The transcript is spliced from 2 exons. The record is from RefSeq and is a predicted model, not a curated record.
GCGGAUAUGGUGGCUACAAUACUCAUCCAGCACAUCAUCCCAAGGUUCGGAUUGCCCCAGACCCUCCAGUCAGACAACGGACCCGCCUUCAUCUCCAGUGUAACCCAACAGGUAUAGUUACCUCCAGGAUCAAAGAACUCAGGGAUCGGAUCCAAGCACGGCGGCGAGACACGUCCUCCUGGGGCCUGGACCCCUACACCUGGGUAACCUGGCUACUCCCUCUGGCGGGACCUGUAUGCAUAAUCCUCCUUCUAGUCUCAGUUGCUCCCUGUCUUUUCCGAUACUUGCAGGGUCGCCUACAAGAACUUGCCCAAGUGUCCGUCAAUCAACUCCUCCUCCAGCCCUACUCUCGCCUGCCCACUUCCGACUACCCCUAUGACAACACCCCCCGUCAGCAGGAAGUAGCCAGAACUGAGUCAACGCCCCUGGCACCAUUAUAUUAAGCAAAAGGUCGGAAUGUUGGGCUGGCAGAAAGGGCUACUUAAGAUGGCGAAA